Trichobilharzia regenti is the source of this 50-nucleotide non-coding RNA. Lineage: Eukaryota; Metazoa; Platyhelminthes; Trematoda; Strigeidida; Schistosomatidae. The record is from Rfam.
GUACUGCUGAAGAGUCCCAAACUAGGACGGAGGAAACAGCUGUCCAGUAC